RNAcentral lists this ribosomal RNA (441 nucleotides) under uncultured bacterium. RNAcentral's name for it is "partial 16S ribosomal RNA". It matches the Rfam family "Bacterial small subunit ribosomal RNA", at positions 338 to 795 of the family's 1533-position model. The record is from RNAcentral.
CCUACGGGUGGCAGCAGUGGGGAAUAUUGGGCAAUGGGCGCAAGCCUGACCCAGCAACGCCGCGUGAAGGAAGAAGGCUUUCGGGUUGUAAACUUCUUUUAAGAGGGAAGAGCAGAAGACGGUACCUCUUGAAUAAGCCACGGCUAACUACGUGCCAGCAGCCGCGGAAAUACGUAGGUGGCAAGGGUUGUCCGGAUUUACUGGGUGUAAGGGGCGUGAAGCGGGGAGGACAGGCAGAGGGGAAAUCCCGCGGCUCAACCGCGGAACUGCAUUUGAAACUGGUUUUGUUGAGUACCGGAGAGGUCAGCGGAAUGCCUUGUGUAGCGGUGAAAUGCGUAGAUAUAAGGAAGAACACCAGUGGCGAAGGCGGAUGACUGGACGGCAACUGACGGUGAGGCGCGAAAGCGUGGGGAGCAAACAGGAUUAGAUACCCCUGUAGUC